CAUUAGAUGGCUGAAAAUAAGCUUUGGAAUUUUAAACCAUUAAAUGAUAAAUUAAUGUAUAUCUCUAAUGA
Molecule: transfer RNA, 71 nt
Filed under: Sinoluperus subcostatus
Lineage: Eukaryota; Metazoa; Arthropoda; Insecta; Coleoptera; Chrysomelidae
Description: tRNA-Lys
Source: RNAcentral